GAGUAGAGUGGCGAACGGGUGAGUAACGCGUGAGAAACCUGCCUUCAUCAGGGGGAUAACACUCCCAACGGAGUGCUAAUACCGCAUGAGACCACGGGAUCGCAUGGUCCUGAGGUCAAAGGUGGCCUCUAUUUAUAAGCUACCGGAUGGAGAUGGUCUCGCGUCCCAUUAGCUAGUUGGCGGGGUAACGGCCCACCAAGGCGACGAUGGGUAGCUGGUCUGAGAGGAUGGUCAGCCACACUGGGACUGAGAUACGGCCCAGACUCCUACGGGAGGCAGCAGUCGAGAGGCUUCGGCAAUGGGGGAAACCCUGACCGAGCGACGCCGCGUGGGGGAUGAAGGCCCUUGGGUUGUAAACCCCUUUUGUUCGGGAAGAAAUGCGAUCAGGUGAAUAAUCUGGUCGUUUGACGGUACCGGACGAAUAAGCUCCGGCUAACUCCGUGCCAGCAGCCGCGGUAACACGGGGGGAGCAAGCGUUGUUCGGAAUCACUGGGCGUAAAGGGCGUGUAGGCGGUCAGGUAAGUGAAAUGUGAAAUGCCUCGGCUCACCCGAGGACCGGCAUCUCAUACUGCUUGACUUGAGUACGGGAGAGGAUGUGGGAAUUCCUGGUGUAGCGGUGAAAUGCGUAGAUAUCAGGAGGAACACCGGUGGCGAAGGCGCACAUCUGGCCCGAUACUGACGCUGAGGCGCGAAAGCUAGGGGAGCAAACGGGAUUAGAUACCCCGGUAGUCCUAGCCGUAGACGGUGAUCACUAGGUGUUGGAGGCAUUGACCCCUCCAGUGCCGCAGCUAACGCAUUAAGUGAUCCGCCUGGGGAGUACGGCCGCAAGGUUG
RNAcentral lists this ribosomal RNA (833 nucleotides) under uncultured bacterium. Its description in RNAcentral is "bacterial SSU rRNA". It matches the Rfam family "Bacterial small subunit ribosomal RNA", at positions 88 to 896 of the family's 1533-position model. The record is from RNAcentral.